RNAcentral lists this ribosomal RNA (465 nucleotides) under Vreelandella stevensii. Its description in RNAcentral is "partial 16S ribosomal RNA". It matches the Rfam family "Bacterial small subunit ribosomal RNA", at positions 338 to 795 of the family's 1533-position model. The record is from RNAcentral. Lineage: Bacteria; Pseudomonadati; Pseudomonadota; Gammaproteobacteria; Oceanospirillales; Halomonadaceae.
CCUACGGGUGGCAGCAGUGGGGAAUAUUGGACAAUGGGGGGAACCCUGAUCCAGCCAUGCCGCGUGUGUGAAGAAGGCCCUCGGGUUGGAAAGCACUUUCAGUGAGGAAGAACGCCUGGUGGUUAAUACCCAUCAGGAAAGACAUCACUCACAGAAGAAGCACCGGCUAACUCCGUGCCAGCAGCCGCGGUAAUACGGAGGGUGCGAGCGUUAAUCGGAAUUACUGGGCGUAAAGCGCGCGUAGGUGGCUUGAUAAGCCGGUUGUGAAAGCCCCGGGCUCAACCUGGGAACGGCAUCCGGAACUGUCAAGCUAGAGUGCAGGCGAGGUAGGUAGAAUUCCCGGUGUAGCGGUGAAAUGCGUAGAGAUCGGGAGGAAUACCAGUGGCGAAGGCGGCCUUCUGGACUGACACUGACACUGAGGUGCGAAAGCGUGGGUAGCAAACAGGAUUAGAUACCCCUGUAGUC